GUGCUCACUUUGGCAGCACAUAUACUAAAAUUGGAACGAUACAGAGAUUAGCAUAGUCCCUGCGCAAGGAUAACACGCAAAUUUGUGAAGCGUUCCAUAUUUUU
This 104-nucleotide small nuclear RNA is filed under the name Prolemur simus (greater bamboo lemur). The record is from RNAcentral. Lineage: Eukaryota; Metazoa; Chordata; Mammalia; Primates; Lemuridae.